ACCUACGGGGGGCAGCAGCGAGGAAUAUUGCGCAAUGGGCGAAAGCCUGACGCAGUAACGCCGCGUGAGGGAAGAAGGCCUUCGGGUCGUAAACCUCUUUUCGGAGGGACGAGGAAGGACGGUACCUUCGGAAUAAGUCUCGGCUAACUACGUGCCAGCAGCCGCGGUAAGACGUAGGAGGCGAGCGUUAUCCGGAUUCACUGGGCGUAAAGCGCGUGUAGGCGGUUCGUCAAGUCGCUUGUGAAAGCCCCUGGCUCAACUGGGGGAGGUCAAGCGAAACUGAAGGACUCGAGGGUCAGAGAGGAAGGUGGAAUUCCCGGUGUAGCGGUGGAAUGCGUAGAGAUCGGGAGGAACACCAGUGGCGAAGGCGGCCUUCUGGCUGACCCCUGACGCUGAGACGCGAAAGCGUGGGUAGCAAACGGGAUUAGAUACCCCGGUAGG
RNAcentral lists this ribosomal RNA (441 nucleotides) under uncultured bacterium. Its description in RNAcentral is "bacterial SSU rRNA". It matches the Rfam family "Bacterial small subunit ribosomal RNA", at positions 337 to 794 of the family's 1533-position model. The record is from RNAcentral.